This 254-nucleotide ribosomal RNA is filed under the name uncultured bacterium. RNAcentral's name for it is "partial 16S ribosomal RNA". It matches the Rfam family "Bacterial small subunit ribosomal RNA", at positions 524 to 776 of the family's 1533-position model. The record is from RNAcentral.
UACGUAGGCAGCGAGCGUUGUUCGGAGUUACUGGGCGUAAAGGGUGUGUAGGCGGUUGUUUAAGUUUGGUGUGAAAUCUCCCGGCUCAACUGGGAGGGUGCGCCGAAUACUGAAUGACUUGGAGUGCGGGAGAGGAGAGUGGAAUUCCUGGUGUAGCGGUGAAAUGCGUAGAUAUCGGGAGGAACACCUGUGGCGAAAGCGGCGCACUGGACCACAACUGACGCUGAGGCGCGAAAGCUAGGGGAGCAAACAGG